RNAcentral lists this long non-coding RNA (691 nucleotides) under Manacus vitellinus (golden-collared manakin). RNAcentral describes it as "lncRNA (ENSMVIG00005016095.1)". Lineage: Eukaryota; Metazoa; Chordata; Aves; Passeriformes; Pipridae. The record is from RNAcentral.
CACAGCCCAUGCUCUACCCCCUUCCCCUCACACUCCGCCUGACCCCAUCAAGGGACAAAACCGCCUUCAAGGCAGUGUUAGAAGGGAUAUUGCCAACCCCAAACUCAUCUCUGUGGUUCUGUUUCCAUCCUGGCUUGCCACAUUUGCCACCAUCGCAGCCCCUGAGCAGCAUCUCUAUCCAGGUGACAGCACCAGAAUGGCCUCCACCAGUGUUGAUGCCCACCCAAACUCGAGCAGGGUUGGAUACCACAAGCUCAGCGCACACAGCAAUGGUCAGAAAGCAUUUAUUACCUCAGAAUCCCCAGUGGGAGUUCCCCAAUAGUUUUCUGAGUGAGGGACUACCAGAGUGAAGUAGUGUUCUGCUAGUGGUAUCAAUAGGCCACUUUACUCCAAAGUGCUUGGCAGUAGACAGACAGUUUUCAAGACAUUUCUGAAGCACGGGAGGAUGGAAGGGCACCACAGGCAAUGAGAGAAGGGAAGAGACCACAGAGAUGAUAGAAGCUCUUGGUCAUUGAGCAGGAGCAACAAAAUGUACCACUCUCCCAUCUGUGUAUUUAUUAUAAAAUUUCCACACUUUGCUCAAGUAAAGAGGAAGAUGAUUGAAUCUGAUGGGAUUGGUUAGUUGGUGAGGUUUGCAAGAGGAUUCUUAUUCACAGUUGUAUGAAUGAUUGACAUUUUGAGUAUGUUUAAU